GAUCAGUUGAUGAGCAAAUACUGCAACAAUAUGACGGAGACAAUCUAUAUGAUUAUUAGUAUUUUAUUCUCUGAUGAUC
Small nucleolar RNA from Eutrema salsugineum, 79 nucleotides. It matches the Rfam family "Small nucleolar RNA Z199". From Rfam's summary of the family: snoZ199 is a C/D box small nucleolar RNA, which acts as a methylation guide RNA for sites on 18S and 25S rRNA. Lineage: Eukaryota; Viridiplantae; Streptophyta; Magnoliopsida; Brassicales; Brassicaceae. The record is from Rfam.